Long non-coding RNA from Prosopis cineraria, 4084 nucleotides. RefSeq lists it as uncharacterized. The record is from RefSeq and is a predicted model, not a curated record. NCBI's taxonomy places the organism in Eukaryota, Viridiplantae, Streptophyta, Magnoliopsida, Fabales, Fabaceae. The transcript is spliced from 8 exons.
AAUCUGCGGAAUGUCAAGGGUGUCAUAAGAAUCAAGGCAAAAUUCUAAAACUUGGAAUAUUGAUCUCUCCUUCUAUUUUCACCAUCUCCAUAUUUGCAUCUUUAUAAUCAGGUUCACUUCAGUGCUCAGUACACGAAGGUUCUCUUCUCAAGUAUCUGUUCGAUGCCCUUACUCCGUCGACAAUUCAUUCUCUUGCUUUGUCAGCAAUUAGUGGUGGUCCCUUGCUCCACCGGCCAUCAUCGACGCUCUCUUGAUCCAUUGGCCAUUUUCAUCUUCAUUAUCGAUUGUGAUUGGCGUGAAACUGGGUUAAUUGAAAAUAUUGCCGAAGAGCUGAUGUCAAAAUUACGUACCAAACUUCCAUUUGAUUCUGAUAUGUUAGUUGGAAUUGAAUAAAAGUUGGCAGAAUUGGACUCUGUUGUAGCAAAUGAAUGGGAUGAAACUCAAUUUAUAGGAAUAUGGGGCACAGGAGGUUUAGGUAAGACUACUCUUGCUAGAUUUUUUUUUUUUUGGAGCAAAGGCACACAGACUUUGAAGUUCAUUGCUUUCUUCAUAAUAUCAGAGAGGUAGGCAAAAAAGAUGGUUUGUCUUUCUUGCAAGGAAUAUUUCUAUCUUGCUUGAAUAAAAGAAUGGAAGUGGGCGACUGUUUUGAAGGAAGGAAGUUGAUAAGAACAUGUUUUGCAAUAGAAAAAUUCUACUUGUCCUUGACGAUGUGAGUGAUGUAAACCAACUUGACAACUUGGCUGGAAAGAAAGGAUGGUUUGGGCAUGGGAGUAAAAUAAUAAUUACUACUAGAGAUAAGCAUUUAUUAUAAUUAUUGCAUGGGGUAUCUAUUCUGUUUAAGAUCAAUUUCUUAACUUAUGUUGAAUCCCUUCAACUUUUUUGUCAAAAAGAUUUUAAAGCAGAUUAUCCAAACAAAUAUUACUUUGAGCUAUCUAGAGCCGUGAUUAAAUAUGCCGGAGGCCCCCCUAAGGCACUUAAAGUCUAAGGAUCAUUUCUUUGUGGAAGAACUAUUCACAAUGGAAGGACGCACUAGCUAAGUUCAAGAAGAUUCCUCCAAAUGACAUUUUGAAGAUACUUAAAGUGAGCUUUGAUGGAUUAGAAGACGAUGAGAAAACUAUAUUCUUAGAUAUUGCUUGCUUUUUCAAUGGGAUGGCAAAAGAUUAUGUCAUACAGAUUUUACAAAAUUGUGACCCUUACCCAAUAAUUGGAAUAAAAGCUCUCUUUGACAAGUCAUUGUUAAUUGAUGAUGGAAGAUUUUUGAGGAUGCAUCAAAUGCUUCAAGAAAUGGGUAAGAAUAUUGUUGUUCAAGAAUCACCCAAUGAUGCUGGCCAACGUAGUAGGAUAUUGUGUUUAGAGGAUGCUAAUCAUGUACUGGAAAGAAAUAACGUAAUGCUCAUUUCUUUUCUUCUAUUGUCUUUUACGGUGAUUGUGCACUCUUUACUUAGUAAUUCUUACCAUGACUUCCAUACUAUUAUUUGCUUGGCUUGUUGUUUUAUAGGGGACAAAAGCAAUUCGAGGUAUAGCUUUAGCACUGGAGAAAUAAUCAGAUGCAAUUUGGAAUCCUGAAGCCUUUUUAAAGUUGAGUGAUCUCAAUUUACUUAUCAUAUCAAGUCUUUCACAAUUUUCCCAUUGCCAAUUGAAUCUUCCUCGUGGACUGAAAUUCAUUUUAAGCUCGUUAAAAGUGCUAGAUGGCAAGGUUAUCCUUUAGAUGUUCUACCAAGUAAGAUUGAGUUGAAUGAACCUGUUGAUCUUAAAAUGCAAUAUAGCAGGUUAACACAACUUUGAAGAGGAACACAGGUUCUAUGAAGGCUUCAAUCCAUUGACUUGAGUCACUCAAAAUGCCUCAUCAAAACACCAAAUUUUGAUGGAAUUCCUCAUCUCCAAAAAUUGAUUCUUGAAGGGUGUACAAACCUUGUUCAAGUUCACCCCUCUCUUGGAAAACACAAGAAUAUUAUCAUUGUUAGUUUGAAAUAUUGCAAGAGUAUUAAAACACUUCCAAGCCAACUUGAGAUAAACUAGUUAGAGAUUUUUGUGUUGUCGGGUUGUUUGAAAGUUACACAGCUUCCUAAGUUUGCAAAAGGUAUGGAUCGCCUAUCGGUGCUUGAUUUAAAAGGGACUGCUAUAGCCAAGCUACCCAAUUCAUUGGCCAAUUUGAUUGGCCUUACUAUAUUAAAUUUGAAGAAUUGCAAAGACCUAGUUUGCCUUCCAAAUAACAUUCAUAAAUUGAAAGCUACAAAAAAUUAUCAAUAUCUCUGGUUGCUUAAAGAUUUCAAGGCUAACAGAGAAUUUGAAAGAAAAUAAGGAUUUGGAAGAGCUUGAUGUGGUGGAACUGCAAUAAAUGAAAUUCCUUCGUCAUUGAAUAAGUUAAAAGUGUUAUCAUUUGGUGUGUGCAAUAAUGGUCUAGCACAAUCUUCAUCACAGAAUCGCUUUAUCAAGUGGGCAUUUAGACUUCAAAGAUCUUCAAGUUCAACAAUUUUUAUGUUUUCCCCUACCCUAUCAAGUCUAAGGUCUUUGGGAAAAUUAAAAUUACCUUAUUGCAAUCCCCAUGACAGAUCACUUCCUCAUGACAUUGGCAAGUUAACAUCAUUGACAUAUUUAGAUCUAAGUGGAAACAAUUUUGUUGACGUGCCUUCUGGCCUCAUUUCCAAUAUUUUUAAGAUUGAAUGCAUCCUUUUCAUUGAUUGCCCCAAGCUUCAAUCUUUGCCACAACUUCCAUCAAACGUAUCAACUAUAGUCACAAGUAAUUCCCAUCCAUGAAACACUAUGCACAUUCACAGCAACUGUGGGAAUUGAUUGAAUCAUUACAAUCUCAGUUUUAUUUUAUUUGUUUUGACGUCAUUAUAUAUAUAUAUAUAUACCCCUUCCCACAUUUGUUGUUGUACUCCUCUAACUUGGCAAAUUUUUUCUUGUAGGCUCUCAAACUCAGUGAAGUCUCAUUUCAACUUCAAGAGCUUAAAAUUGCAUUUUUAUGUCGUGUGUCAGCUCUUACAACUUCAACUCCACAAAUUGUUACUUCGGAUGAACAAAUUAGAAGAUGCUGAGAGGGACAUGGCAAGAGAAAUAAGGGAUGAAGGACGUAGCAGCAGCAACAAUGACAUUUACAUUGAUCCAGACAGAUAAUAAAAUAGCAAAAUAGGGAUUAUGUGAAAGAGGUGCACAAGGCCCGAUGAACAUUAUUACAAUAUAUAGAUGUAGGGUACCCUAGAAUACAAGAAUAAGAAUCAUGUUUCUCUAAUGAAUAAAGAAUAAACAAUACUGAAUUAGAAAUAAAAAACAAUAAAAAUACUGCAGUGUUCAUGAUGGGCUUGGUCUGGGUAGAUAUUGGGCUCUAUGCUAAUUGGGCUUCUUUAAUUUCUUCACACUCCCCUUCAAACGGGAGGCAGAAUAUUUGGACAGCCUGGAUUUGUCUCUUAAACUGAGAAAAUGUGUGUGGGUCAUCUCCUUGGUGAAGAUAUUGGGAACAUUCUCCGAUAAAGGGUUAGAAGCUAGGGCCAUGGCACUCAUAUUGUCAUACUAUGCAAUCGGAAUCUGUUGAAGCUUCAAUCCAAUCUCAAAGAACAAAUACCGUAGCUGUGCAAGUUCCGUUGCUAAAUCAACUAGAGAUUGAUACUACAAUUUAGUGCUUGAUCAUGCAACAACUCUCUAUUUUUUUGCUCGAUCACACGAUUAAGGAUUCUCCAAAGAAGGCACAGUAACCUUUAAAGGACUUCUAAUCAUGAAUGCAUGUAGCCCAAUCAGCAUCUGAAAAACCUUGCAAACAAAGGUACUGAGCUGGAAUCUACAGCAUAACUAUUGAGAUUGGAAUCAAGUUGAGAGGAAGAACCAUUCUGUGCUUCAGUUCAGAGAUGACAAUGGAAGCACCUCUAGCAAAACAAGGAGAACAAGGAGAUGGCAAAGAACCCAUAAAGCUCUUGAAAAGUUCUUGUGGAUGUACUUCAAACUCAAGUACUUUUUUCUUAUUCAAGAACCCUUUUGCAAAAGGAAAAAAACUGCUCAUUAAAUUCUACAUUUCUUGAUGUACCCAAUAAAUACACACUUAAUGGUUCUAAAUUGAAGUUUAUGUUGAUUGUAAGCCCUUAGACAA